This 87-nucleotide transfer RNA is filed under the name Candidatus Moraniibacteriota bacterium. RNAcentral's name for it is "tRNA-Leu". It matches the Rfam family "tRNA". From Rfam's summary of the family: Transfer RNA (tRNA) molecules are approximately 80 nucleotides in length. Their secondary structure includes four short double-helical elements and three loops (D, anti-codon, and T loops). Further hydrogen bonds mediate the characteristic L-shaped molecular structure. tRNAs have two regions of fundamental functional importance: the anti-codon, which is responsible for specific mRNA codon recognition, and the 3' end, to which the tRNAs corresponding amino acid is attached (by aminoacyl-tRNA synthetases). tRNAs cope with the degeneracy of the genetic code in two manners: having more than one tRNA (with a specific anti-codon) for a particular amino acid; and 'wobble' base-pairing, i.e. permitting non-standard base-pairing at the 3rd anti-codon position. Lineage: Bacteria; Candidatus Moraniibacteriota. The record is from RNAcentral.
GGGCACGUGGUGAAAUUGGUAUACACGCUAGCUUCAGGUGCUAGUGGCAGCGAUGUCGUGAGAGUUCGAGUCUCUCCGUGCCCACCA